This 321-nucleotide ribosomal RNA is filed under the name uncultured Sandona. Its description in RNAcentral is "SSU rRNA". The stretch from base 113 to 321 matches the Rfam family "Eukaryotic small subunit ribosomal RNA", at positions 745 to 955 of the family's 1831-position model. Lineage: Eukaryota; Cercozoa; Glissomonadida. The record is from RNAcentral.
GAUUUCUGGGCUCAAGAAUUUGGCCGGCCACGGUUUCGUGUGUUAGUGCUUUGUUCUGUGUCCAUCCUUCCAAUUGCUAUUGGCUAUUCUUCAUUGAUUGGUCAGUAGUAUUGGAUCUUUUACUUUGAAAAAAUUAGAGUGUUUAAAGCAGGCUUACGCUAUGAAUACAUUAGCAUGGAAUAAUAAUAUAGGACUUUGGUUCUAUUUUGUUGGUUUCUAGGACUGAAGUAAUGAUUGAUAGGGAUAGUUGGGGGUGCUAGUAUUCAGUGGCCAGAGGUGAAAUUCUUGGAUUCACUGAAGACUAACUACUGCGAAAGCAUU